AGCGAUUCUCCUGCCUCAGCCUCCCAAGUGGCUGGGACUACAGGCUGUGAAGUCUGGGUGAGAUCUUGACAGUGGUGGCAGUGGUGGGAUCCAUGCAUGGCGUCUGGAAGAAGGAGAGAAAGGAAGAGAAAGAGGCAAGGAGGGAGGAGGAAAAUGAGGCCUUGAAAUAUCAUACACAGUUCCUUGGAUGGAAGGAGGAGCGGGUCCUGUCCCCGCUUGUCUUGGCUGUCUGGAGGAAGAGGAGAACCAGUCAUUGGUGUGGCCUAAGUCGAACGAGGAACUGUGGUGAGUCUUCUCCCUGACCCCCUUUUCCCACCCAUCCCGACAUAUUUCUUCUGUUUUGCAUUCCCAGUGCCAGGGACUGUUUGUGUGUCAAAUAUGCCAUGAAAUGUGCAUCUUUCCCAUGAGCAAAUGAAGAGGUGGGGGUGCUUACUCAUCCCUAAGCCCUGGUUGCUUUCUCAGACACAUUCUAAAUAGCAAAGCAGUCUCCUCCAGGGGACCUUUCAGGGAUGGGCUUCAGGGCCAUCCUGGGCCGUGACCCUCUGUGCAGCUAUCCUUGGAAGUAGUCCUUGGGAAGGUGAGCAGGGAGGGACUGUGACAUCUAAAGUCCAAGCUCUGACUACUUCUGUCCCUGGGAAUCAGUGACAUGUGAAGCUAUGGCUAGAUUUUUCAUAGAUCUCUUAUUUGUAUUCAAAAAGCAUUCAGAAGUUUUUAUUUAGCUAAAAGUUGGCUUUA
Molecule: long non-coding RNA, 735 nt
Filed under: Homo sapiens (human)
Lineage: Eukaryota; Metazoa; Chordata; Mammalia; Primates; Hominidae
Description: HSALNT0340244
Source: RNAcentral